UGAGGUAGGACACACUGGGGCCAUGAC
RNAcentral lists this non-coding RNA (27 nucleotides) under Homo sapiens (human). Lineage: Eukaryota; Metazoa; Chordata; Mammalia; Primates; Hominidae. The record is from RNAcentral.